AACGAACGCUGGCGGCAUGCCUAACACAUGCAAGUCGAACGAGACCUUCGGGUCUAGUGGCGCACGGGUGCGUAACGCGUGGGAACCUGCCCUUAGGUUCGGAAUAACUCCCCGAAAGGGGUGCUAAUACCGGAUAAUGUCUUCGGACCAAAGAUUUAUCGCCCUUGGUUGGGCCCGCGUUGGAUUAGCUAGUUGGUAGGGUAAAAGCCUACCAAGGCGACGAUCCAUAGCUGGUCUGAGAGGAUGAUCAGCCACACUGGGACUGAGACACGGCCCAGACUCCUACGGGAGGCAGCAGUGGGGAAUAUUGGACAAUGGGCGAAAGCCUGAUCCAGCAAUGCCGCGUGAGUGAUGAAGGCCUUAGGGUUGUAAAGCUCUUCUAACCGGGAUGAUAAUGACAGUACCGGGAGAAUAAGCUCCGGCUAACUCCGUG
Molecule: ribosomal RNA, 433 nt
Filed under: uncultured bacterium
Lineage: Bacteria
Description: partial 16S ribosomal RNA
Rfam family: Bacterial small subunit ribosomal RNA
Source: RNAcentral